RNAcentral lists this ribosomal RNA (506 nucleotides) under uncultured bacterium. RNAcentral describes it as "partial 16S ribosomal RNA". It matches the Rfam family "Bacterial small subunit ribosomal RNA", at positions 30 to 523 of the family's 1533-position model. The record is from RNAcentral.
AUUGAACGCUGGCGGCAGGCCUAACACAUGCAAGUCGAACGGUAACAGGAAACAGCUUGCUGUUUCGCUAACGAGUGGCGGACGGGUGAGUAAUGUCUGGGAAACUGCCUGAUGGAGGGGGAUAACUACUGGAAACGGUAGCUAAUACCGCAUAACGUCGCAAGACCAAAGAGGGGGACCUUCGGGCCUCUUGCCAUCAGAUGUGCCCAGAUGGGAUUAGCUAGUAGGUGGGGUAACGGCUCACCUAGGCGACGAUCCCUAGCUGGUCUGAGAGGAUGACCAGCCACACUGGAACUGAGACACGGUCCAGACUCCUACGGGAGGCAGCAGUGGGGAAUAUUGCACAAUGGGCGCAAGCCUGAUGCAGCCAUGCCGCGUGUAUGAAGAAGGCCUUCGGGUUGUAAAGUACUUUCAGCGGGGAGGAAGGCGAUAAGGUUAAUAACCUUGUCGAUUGACGUUACCCGCAGAAGAAGCACCGGCUAACUCCGUGCCAGCCGCCGCCGUAA